NNNNNNNNNNNNNNNNNNNNNNNNNNNNNNNNNNNNNNNNNNNNNNNNNNNNNNNNNNNNNNNNNNNGCAGGGGGCAGGGCGGGCGCCCCAGCGAAGCCCGAAGGACGCGCGCGCGAGGCCCUUUGUGGACUUCACGGCCGCCAACAUCUGGGCGCAGCGCGGGCCACCGCUGGCCGCCGCGCCGCCGCCGCCUCGCCUUGGGGACCGUAGGAGGCGCAGCCCCGAGGCCGGAGACUUCGUUUUGGGACGAGCCCCCAGGGACAGGAUGAAAUUGCUGACUUCCAGACUGCACGCUGGGCUCCUUCUGAAUCAGAAGCCCUGGGGAUCUUCCGGGAAGCUGCAUACUCAACAUCACUCCAGGUGACUCUCAGACCACUGCGUGCUGCCUUCGGGGAAGACAAGCCUGGAUCCUCCCCUCUUCCUGGGAUGGGGAAUUUCCUUCUUGAACCUUGACUAAGCCCAUCUGGGAAGUCAGCUGGGAGGGAAAGCCUGGGUUCACUGCCCGCACCCCGCCAGGCAAGCGACAAGCGCAGGCAAGUGCAGCCCUUCCCUCUCCUCCUGGGCUCCAGCCCCUGGGCCCUGGGCUUGAGACCAGGGGGCCCCAUGCGGGAGGAGUACGGUACUCCUUCUCCCCCCAGCCCCUGGUGUUGAGCCCUCACAGCUGCGCUGUGCUGGGAACAGGCCAGGCAUUUGUGAAAUCCUCGGGUGAGCCUGACCCACUGUCAUGAGGACUGCCUGUGGAAGCUGGUGCAGGGAGGGGGAUGGGGGGCUGUUCCCAGAAGCGGGGAGAACUCUGGACUUCCCACUCCUGAGUGCUCUGCAUUGCAGCACGGCCUUAAGCAACAGCAGUGGUCUGGAAGGCUGCACUGCAGAGAACCAGAGGCCCCAGGCUCUCUUCUGAAAAGAAACUAGGGCUCUGAAUGCUAAAACUUCCACGCACUCCUCCUUACCCGUCGCUGCUGCCACUCGCAGUGAAGACCGGGCCCAGCCUUAGAGAAAGGCGAACUCAAGGCUAGACUUACAAAAAGAAGAAGAAGGGGAAGAAGAUAACCAGAAUGCUAGUUUGUUAUGUACAUUAUACAAGAAAAUGUAUUUCCUUUUUUUUUUAAAUGAUUUUAUUUAUUCAUUUGAGACAGCGGGAGCACGAGCUAGUGCAGGGGAGCAGAGGGAGAGGGAGAAGGGGAGCCCAACACAGGGCUCGAUCCCAGGACCCCAUGAUCAGGACCAGUGCUUAACCCACUGAGCCACCCAGGUGCCCAAGAAAAUGUUUUUCCUUUCACUCCCUGCUCCCCAAAUCUCCACUCUUCCUUUGGAACAGAAAACCUUACGUAGUACCUAUAUCAUACAGCAUGUUAAAGACACGAAAUACAAAACCUGGUGAUUCAGGAGGCCGCCGUACUGCCCAACCGCGGGGAUGCUGUUCACAAUACACUCUUUGUGGUUGGGGUCCCAGAAAGUCAUGUGGUGGGGGGCUGCUGGGUUUGGGAAUUUUAGGGUACAUUAGCAGCGCCAGACCCUUGCCUUAACGACACUCCAGGGCAAACCCAAGGCUGGUAGGAACUGUGUUCUGGGUGCUGUGGCCAGGGCUGGAGAUCCAUGCCAACCAAGAAGCAUUUAGCCUUCGGGAUGCUUACAGUCUGAAAGGGGAACCAGACGUGAAAAGCAAGAAGUAUCCUAAAAAGGAGUGGGUGUAAAAAUAAAAUGUUAUACAGCCUACAGCGGGGGGGCCCCCAGGAGGAAAUGACCAACAUUGGUUUCCCAGAAGAGGGGCCACUGGUGAGACAAGGCAAAAACAGCAGUUGUCCCCUCCCGCAGGCAGGCGGUGUGGGACACAGGGC
This is a long non-coding RNA of Mustela putorius furo (domestic ferret), 1839 nucleotides long. The record is from Ensembl. NCBI's taxonomy places the organism in Eukaryota, Metazoa, Chordata, Mammalia, Carnivora, Mustelidae.